This 904-nucleotide long non-coding RNA is filed under the name Homo sapiens (human). RNAcentral describes it as "HSALNT0027894". The record is from RNAcentral. Lineage: Eukaryota; Metazoa; Chordata; Mammalia; Primates; Hominidae.
ACUAAACCAGGACACUUUUGAGAAUGAACUUGGGUGCUAUUGGUAAUCACACCGAGACACAGCAACGUCCGGGACCAACUCAACCCUCAGUCCGCUCAUGGGGCACAGGUUUCCUGGUCCUUCCCUACCCUGACUUCUCUUCUUCUGAUGUUUGGUGGUCUGCAUCCUUUUAAACCACUGUGCUCCCAGAACUGAUUCCCAUAUGUGUCUGCCAUACUGGAAAAUACCAAAUAGGCAAGGAGAUCGUUUCAAUACUGUCUGCUGAACACCUUAAUAGAGGCAAGAGAGAACGCAGAGGAAGAAACAAUGGACUCUUUCUGAGAGAGUGGAAGAUGGCUUCGCAGAGGAGCUGCUGUCUGAGACGGAUAGCAUGAGUAGGAGUUUCCCCAGGCAGGGAAGGUGUUGUUGUUUCUCCUCAGGGUAGAGGGGAGAGCAGGGUUCCCCGUGUGUCUGUUGCUGAAUGUGACUCAUGCUGUUUUCCUGCUUUGAGCCUGCUCUAGGGUGUUAUGGGCAGGAUGGACUUGUCCUGCGUGCUUGUUGUUCCGCCGUGUUUCUGAUCUUCAGAUUUAUCGUAAGGAAGAACAGCCGAUGUACAGGCAGAACUUGACAAAUGAGGCAACAAGCAACUUGAUCUGGGAUCCAUCGUCCUCUAGACCCCAGGAUGGAUCAUGAAGAGUGGAAUUGCUUUUCCUCUUGGGGCAGGCACACCAACAGUGUAUGUGAGGCCCCUGCUCCCACUCCCCAGGCUGGCCAGUACUUUGGGCCAAUCUGCUAGACCCAAAAAUGUUAAUCUCACUGAGAUUUAAUUUGCAUUCCCCUGACUACCGGUGAAGUUGAGCAUCUUUUCAUAUGUUUAUUGACAAUUUGCAUUUCUUAUUCAGUAAAUUACCUGCUCGUAUCCUAG